AGUGAACGCUGGCGGUAGGCCUAACACAUGCAAGUCGAACGGCAGCACAGUAAGAGCUUGCUCUUACGGGUGGCGAGUGGCGGACGGGUGAGGAAUACAUCGGAAUCUACUUUUUCGUGGGGGAUAACGUAGGGAAACUUACGCUAAUACCGCAUACGACCUACGGGUGAAAGCAGGGGAUCUUCGGACCUUGCGCGAUUGAAUGAGCCGAUGUCGGAUUAGCUAGUUGGCGGGGUAAAGGCCCACCAAGGCGACGAUCCGUAGCUGGUCUGAGAGGAUGAUCAGCCACACUGGGACUGAGACACGGUCCAGACUCCUACGGGAGGCAGCAGUGGGGAAUAUUGGACAAUGGGCGCAAGCCUGAUCCAGCCAUACCGCGGGGGUGAAGAAGGCCUUCGGGUUGUAAAGCCCUUUUGUUGGGAAAGAAAAGCAGCAGGUUAAUACCCCGCUGUUCUGACGGUACCCAAAGAAUAAGCACCGGCUAACUUCGUGC
This 493-nucleotide ribosomal RNA is filed under the name uncultured bacterium. RNAcentral's name for it is "partial 16S ribosomal RNA". It matches the Rfam family "Bacterial small subunit ribosomal RNA", at positions 29 to 508 of the family's 1533-position model. The record is from RNAcentral.